AGAGUUUGAUCCUGGCUCAGAAUCAACGCUGGCGGCGUGCCUAACACAUGCAAGUCGAACGAGAAAGUGGAGCAAUCCAUGAGUAAAGUGGCGCACGGGUGAGUAACACGUGACUAACCUACCCUUGAGUGGGGAAUAACUUCGGGAAACCGAGGCUAAUACCGCAUAACACCUACGGGUCAAAGGAGCAAUUCGCUUAAGGAGGGGGUCGCGGCAGAUUAGUUAGUUGGCGGGGUAAUGGCCCACCAAGACGGUGAUCUGUAUCCGGCCUGAGAGGGCGCACGGACACACUGGAACUGAAACACGGUCCAGACUCCUACGGGAGGCAGCAGUGGGGAAUUUUGCGCAAUGGGGGAAACCCUGACGCAGCAACGCCGCGUGGAGGAUGAAGUCCCUUGGGACGUAAACUCCUUUCGAUCGGGACGAUUAUGACGGUACCGGAAGAAGAAGCCCCGGCUAACUUCGUGCCAGCAGCCGCGGUAAUACGAGGGGGGCGAGCGUUGUUCGGAAUUAUUGGGCGUAAAGGGCGCGUAGGCGGUCGGAUAAGUCUUGUGUGAAAUCUCCGGGCUCAACUCGGAGUCUGCACGAGAAACUAUCUGGCUUGAGUGUGGGAGAGGUGAGUGGAAUUCCUGGUGUAGCGGUGAAAUGCGUAGAUAUCAGGAGGAACACCUGUGGCGAAAGCGGCUCACUGGACCACAACUGACGCUGAGGCGCGAAAGCUAGGGGAGCAAACAGGAUUAGAUACCCUGGUAGUCC
RNAcentral lists this ribosomal RNA (756 nucleotides) under uncultured bacterium. RNAcentral describes it as "bacterial SSU rRNA". It matches the Rfam family "Bacterial small subunit ribosomal RNA", at positions 8 to 796 of the family's 1533-position model. The record is from RNAcentral.